AUUAAAUGACUCUCGGCAACGGAUAUCUCGGCUCUUGCAUCGAUGAAGAACGUAGCGAAAUGCGAUACUUGGUGUGAAUUGCAGAAUCCCGUGAACCAUCGAGUCUUUGAACGCAAGUUGCGCCUGAAGCCAUCAGGUUGAAGGCACGUCUGCCUGGGCGUCACGCA
This 167-nucleotide ribosomal RNA is filed under the name Erica abietina subsp. atrorosea. RNAcentral's name for it is "5.8S ribosomal RNA". It matches the Rfam family "5.8S ribosomal RNA". Rfam says of the family: 5.8S ribosomal RNA (5.8S rRNA) is a component of the large subunit of the eukaryotic ribosome. Lineage: Eukaryota; Viridiplantae; Streptophyta; Magnoliopsida; Ericales; Ericaceae. RNAcentral also lists the same sequence under 14 other names. The record is from RNAcentral.